RNAcentral lists this ribosomal RNA (253 nucleotides) under uncultured bacterium. Its description in RNAcentral is "partial 16S ribosomal RNA". It matches the Rfam family "Bacterial small subunit ribosomal RNA", at positions 524 to 776 of the family's 1533-position model. The record is from RNAcentral.
UACGGAGGGUGCGAGCGUUGUCCGGAAUCAUUGGGCGUAAAGGGCGCGUAGGUGGCGCGACAAGUCAGUGGUGAAAGUUCGACGCUCAACGUCGAAUCGGCCACUGAUACUGUUGGGCUUGAGCACUGUAGAGGCUAAUGGAAUUCCGGGUGUAGCGGUGGAAUGCGUAGAGAUCCGGAAGAGCACCGGUGGCGAAGGCGGCUACCUGGACCAGCACUGACACUGAGGCACGAAAGCGUGGGGAGCAAACAGG